RNAcentral lists this ribosomal RNA (457 nucleotides) under uncultured bacterium. RNAcentral describes it as "bacterial SSU rRNA". It matches the Rfam family "Bacterial small subunit ribosomal RNA", at positions 29 to 507 of the family's 1533-position model. The record is from RNAcentral.
AUUGAACGCUGGCGGCAUGCCUUACACAUGCAAGUCGAACGGUAACGCGGGGCAACCUGGCGACGAGUGGCGAACGGGUGAGUAAUGCAUCGGAACGUGCCCAGUAGUGGGGGAUAGCCCGGCGAAAGCCGGAUUAAUACCGCAUACGACCUAUGGGUGAAAGCGGGGGAUCGCAAGACCUCGCGCUAUUGGAGCGGCCGAUGUCAGAUUAGCUAGUUGGUGGGGUAAUGGCCUACCAAGGCGACGAUCCGUAGCUGGUCUGAGAGGACGACCAGCCACACUGGGACUGAGACACGGCCCAGACUCCUACGGGAGGCAGCAGUGGGGAAUAUUGGACAAUGGGGGCAACCCUGAUCCAGCGACGCCGCGUGUGUGAAGAAGGCCUGCGGGUUGUAAAGCACUUUUAGUGGGGAGGAUAAUGACGGUACCCGCAGAAUAAGCCCCGGCUAACUUCGUG